GACGAACGCUGGCGGCGUGCUUAACACAUGCAAGUCGAACGGAAAGGCCUGCUUUCCCUUGUGGAUUGCGGGUACUCGAGUGGCGAACGGGUGAGUAACACGUGAGUGAUCUGCCCCCAACUUGGGUAUAAGCCUGGGAAACUGGGUCUAAUUCCCGAUAGGACUGCAGGGUGGUGCCUGUGGUGGAAAACGAUUUUCUAGUGGUUGGGGAUGAGCUCACGGCCUAUCAGCUUGUUGGUGGGGUAAUGGCCUACCAAGGCGGCGACGGGUAGCCGGCCUGAGAGGGUGGACGGCCACAUUGGGACUGAGAUACGGCACAGACUCCUACGGGAGGCAGCAGUGGGGAAUAUAGCACAAUGUGCGGAAGCCUGAUGCAGCGACGCAGCGUGGGGGAUGACGGCCUGCGGGUGGUAAACUCCUUUCGACCGCGAGGAAGCCACCUGGUUGGAAGGGUGGUGACGGUAGUGGUAGAAGAAGCACCGGCUAACUACGUG
Molecule: ribosomal RNA, 494 nt
Filed under: uncultured bacterium
Lineage: Bacteria
Description: partial 16S ribosomal RNA
Rfam family: Bacterial small subunit ribosomal RNA
Source: RNAcentral